UACGGAGGGUGCAAGCGUUAUCCGGAUUCACUGGGUUUAAAGGGCGCGUAGGUGGGCAGGUAAGUCAGUGGUGAAAUCUCCGGGCUUAACUCGGAAACUGCCAUUGAUACUAUCUUUCUUGAAUACCGUGGAGGUCAGCGGAAUAUGUCAUGUAGCGGUGAAAUGCUUAGAUAUGACAUAGAACACCAAUUGCGAAGGCAGCUGGCUAGACGAAUAUUGACACUGAUGCACGAAAGCGUGGGGAUCAAACAGG
Molecule: ribosomal RNA, 253 nt
Filed under: uncultured bacterium
Lineage: Bacteria
Description: partial 16S ribosomal RNA
Rfam family: Bacterial small subunit ribosomal RNA
Source: RNAcentral